UGUUAAUGUUCAGUUUGCUCAGUGGAUCGAUGUUUGCUGGCAUCGCCUCGCCCUGCCUGUGCGUGUGCGUGUGUGUGUGUAUGUGUGUGUGUGUGUGUGCACGCGUGUGUGUGUGCGCGCGUGUGCGUGUGCGAACAGCAGCUCUCCCUUCCACCCGCAGCCUCCCUGUCCUCUCCCAUAUCACUCACUGCCUGGCAUCUGACAGCACGGAACCUGCAGCGCUCCGCGCACACACACGCACGCACACACACACCACGCACACCCGGGCACCGCUCCGCCAUACAGCUCUGCGAGGAGGAGGAGGAGAGGAGAGGAAAGGGAGGAAGCAGCCAGCCCCACAGUCUUUCCAGAGCUGCCUUUUUUUUUUAAUAUAUACAUAUCUAUUUUGUUAUUUAUUUAUUACCGUUCUCUGGCACUGUGGGCGCCUUUCAUUUGCUCCUGAGCUCGGAUGUUUGAAUCAAAGCAAAGCAAGUGUUGCAACAGUUAAAAAAAAAAAAAAAAGCCAACCAAAAAAAAAGAGAGAGAGAGAAAGAAACCUAGAUCUCUAAAAUAAAAUAAAAACCAAACAGGUUCCUAUCAGUGAAGUGGAAAGGAGGGGGGCAGGGGAGGCUUGAGGGGGGUGUCGGGGAAAGCAGCUGAGAGGCAGAGGCAGAGAAACACGACUCAGGAGCGUCUCAGGGCUCUCGGAUCUGGGGACAGAAGUGAGAUUGGAGAAAGUAGAGCGAUGCCAAGGAGGAAACAGCAAGCACCCAAACGGGCUGCAGGUUAUGUCCAGGAGGAAGAUUUAAAGGAAGAGGAAGAUAUAAAGGAGGAGGAAGAAGAUGAUGAUGACAACAACUCAACUGCUCAGCUCCAGGGCAGCAACGACACUGGCACAGAUGAGGAACAUGAAGUGGGUCCUGAGCAGAAAGGGAACUUUAGUUACCAGAAUUCCCCUGUCAGUCACGUUUCUAACCAGGAUGCAGAGAAUGAGUCACUGCUAAGUGAUGGUAGUGACCAUGUGGCAGAUAUUAAAAGUGUUUGCUCUAGAGAGCCGCAGGACCCGAAAACCAGCACCCACCCCAAAGCCCAGAAUGAAGCACACGAUUGCAUGGAUAAAAUGACAGCGGUCUAUGCCAACAUACUGUCAGACUCUUAUUGGACAGGCUUAGGGCUGGGUUUCAAGUUGUCCAACUCUGAAAAGAGGAGUUGUGACAACAGAAAUGGAGGGAACAAAGCUGAUUUUGAUUGGCAUCAAGACGCGCUGUCAAAAAGCUUACAGCAGAAUUUACCUUCCAGACCUGUCUCGAAACCCAACCUGUUCAGCUCGGUCCAGCUCUACAGGCAGAGCAGCAAAAUGUGUGGAACUGUGUUCACGGGCGCCAGCCGGUUUCGGUGCCGGCAGUGCAGCGCUGCCUACGACACGCUGGUGGAACUCACGGUUCACAUGAAUGAGACAGGUCACUACCAAGAUGACAACCAUAAAAAGGACAAGCACAGACCUACCAGCUACUCAAAGCCCCGAAAAAGGGCUUUCCAGGACAUGGACAAGGAAGAUGCACAAAAAGUUCUGAAAUGUAUGUUCUGCGGUGACUCUUUUGAUUCCCUUCAAGAUCUGAGCGUUCAUAUGAUAAAAACAAAACAUUACCAAAAAGUGCCUUUGAAGGAGCCGGUACCAACCAUUUCUUCAAAAAUGGUCACUCCAGCAAAGAAACGUGUGUUUGAUGUUAACAGGCCUUGUUCCCCCGAUUCCACAACGGGGUCUUUCUCAGAUACCUUUUCUCCUCAGAAGAAUGCGAACCUGCAGUUAUCAUCUAACAACCGCUACGGCUACCAGAAUGGCGCCAGCUAUACGUGGCAGUUCGAAGCCUGCAAAUCCCAGAUUUUGAAGUGUAUGGAAUGUGGAAGUUCCCAUGACACCUUGCAGCAGCUCACGACCCACAUGAUGGUCACUGGCCAUUUCUUGAAAGUCACAAGUUCAGCUUCAAAGAAAGGAAAACAAUUGGUUCUGGAUCCUUUAGCUGUGGAAAAAAUGCAAUCGCUGUCUGAGGCACCAGCCAGUGACAGCCCAGUUUCAAAACCAUCCAGUAAAUCAUCCGCAGAAAGCAUAGUUCCCACCUCUGAACUAAAAAAAGAAAGUAAAAAAGAUAAAGUUGAUGAUGCAAACAAAGAUGAGAAGGCAGUAAAAAGUGAAGAGUAUGAUGAGACUCUUCAGAAGCCACUGGAUCCUACAAUGAAAUAUCAGUACCUCAGAGAAGAAGAUUUAGAAGAUGGUUCAAAGGGUGGUGGGGACAUUUUAAAGUCCUUGGAGAACACUGUCACAACAGCCAUCAAUAAAGCUCAAAAUGGGGCACCCAGCUGGAGUGCAUAUCCCAGCAUCCAUGCAGCUUAUCAGCUCUCGGAAGGAGCUAAACCAUCUUUGCCUGUGGGUUCCCAAGUACUGCAAAUCAGGCCAACGAUCACCAAUAAACUGAGGCCGAUAGCUCCCAAGUGGAAGGUCAUGCCUCUGGUCCCUAUCUCAGCAAACGUGGCCCAGUGCACUCAAGUGAAGAAGGAAGCCGAUGACAAGGAGGAGGUGCAAAAGGACUAUGCUAAAGAGGGCAUCCAAGCUGAGCCUGCCUUGCUCAGCCAGAGCGAGAAAGAACCUCUCCUCAAAUCUGAAGUCUCUGUGGAGCCAAAAAAAACAGAACCAUGUCCCUUGAAAGAAGAAGACAAAAUUAAAGAGGACAGUGGAAAAGAAAAACCGGUCCUCAAGGAACCAACCGCAGCUUCUCUUAGUAAUGGCUGUGCUGCUGCCAACCACUCGUCUGAGCUGCCGUGUGUCAACCCCCUCAGUGCACUGCAGUCAGUACUCAAUAAUCACUUGGGCAAAGCCACUGAGCCCCUAAGGCCUCAGUCCAACUCCAGCCCCAGCUCUAGCACAAUUUCUGUGUUCCACAAACCGAAUCUAAAUAUGAUGGAGAAGCCAGUUUUGUCUCCUGCUCCAACCCCACCAAAACCUGCAAGUGUAUCCAGGCACUAUUUGUUUGAAAACAAUGAUCAGCCUAUUGACCUGACCAAAUCCAAAGGCAAGAAAGCUGAGUCAGCUCAAGCACAAUCUUGUACUUCUCCACCUCAGAAACAUGCUCUGUCUGACAUCGCUGACAUGGUCAAAGUUCUUCCCAAAGCUACUACACCAAAACCUGCUGCAUCUUCAAGGAUCCCAUCUAUGAAAUUAGAAAUAGAUGUCCGACGCUUUGAGGAUGUCUCAACAGAAGUCUCCACUCUGCAUAAAAGGAAGGGCAGACAGUCAAACUGGAACCCUCAGCAUCUUCUCAUUUUGCAAGCUCAGUUUGCUUCCAGCCUCUUCCAGACAUCUGAAGGUAAAUAUUUAUUAUCAGAUCUAGGCCCACAAGAGCGCAUGCAGAUUUCAAAAUUUACUGGACUGUCUAUGACCACCAUCAGCCAUUGGUUGGCAAAUGUCAAGUAUCAACUUAGGAAAACCGGAGGAACAAAGUUUUUGAAAAACAUGGACAAAGGACAUCCAGUCUUUUACUGCAGUGACUGUGCAUCUCAGUUUCGAACCCCAUCUACUUACAUUAGCCACUUAGAAUCUCAUCUAGGUUUCCAAAUGAAAGACAUGAACAGGCUGGCUGUGGAGCAGCAAACCAAGGUAGAGCAAGAAAUCUCCAGAGUUUCAGUUCAAAGAUCUCCUGAAACAAUAGCUGGAGAAGAGGACACAGACUCUAAGUUCAAAUGUAAGUUGUGCUGUCGGACAUUUGCGAGCAAACAUGCAGUAAAACUUCAUCUAAGCAAAACACACAGCAAGUCACCAGAACACCAUUCACAAUUUGUAGCAGAAGUGGAUGAAGAAUAACUCUUAAGAGCAGAGUUGAAUUGCCCAGAAUCGCUGGAGAAGAAGAAGACACCAGGAGCACAGUCUUGCACGGUGCUGGGCUCCCGGCUCCAGGGACACGGGAAGGACACCCCACACCUUGCGGCACGAGGCCCCAGGGCUUCUGAACUUGCAGUUCUGCUCUGUGCAUCGUGCAUGCAAAAGCGGAGCUCUCAGCAAAAUCUCUUUAUUAUUCAUCAUAAAGAAUCACAGCUGUGAAAAGCGAGCUAAGGAAGGAGAGUGGGACCAGGCAGGCGUUCUGCCUUGGCCCGGUGUAAAUCAGGAGUAACUCUACUGCAAGUCUGCUGAAUUAUGUCGCUGUCACUUGGACAUCAGACCAGAAUCAAGCCCUUUACCUGUAAUAGAUGAGUGAAAUAUCUUACAACUGUGUGUCCAGGAGCCUGCUAAGCUUCUUGCAGAGUUGCUGUCAGUAUGCCCAGGGCAGAAGCAUAUUUUUUUUCUUACUGUUGUACAUAAGGGCUCUGCUGCAGCCGACAACAUGAAAUGUGUUAGUUCGGUUUGUUCAAAAUGGAGUGUGUUUGUUAAGUGUUGCCUCUUUGAUGUUGCGCUGCCAUCUCCAUCUUUGUCAUCAUUGCCCAUCUUUUUCAAUCUAAUGAACUCAAACCAUCAGUGCAACUUAAGUUCGGCUGUCUGUUCUUGCAUAGUUAAUAUUAAAAAUGUACUAACAGUGUGGCUGCGAAAUCAAAUUAUGCACAUAAAUAUGCUGGCAUAGCAGAGGAGGCGGCAGAAGCUGAAGUUAGCAACAUUGAUGCCAGUUCACAUUUGCAAAUCAACCGUCAAUCUGUCAUUAAACAUGUUAUCAAAUGAUGAUAAGUGUAUGCUUCUUGCUUGCAUUGGCGCGCUUAUUCCCGAUGUUGAUGUGCAUUAAUGGGAUAAUGUGCAUUAACAUAGUCUUGCUUGGAUGAACACAAAACAUUUUUUAUCCGUCUCAGUUUGUUUCCCCCUGUGGCCCCCAAGUAAGUGUUUUGUGUUAUCAAAUUGCCAAAAAAUGGGAAAACACAUUACUUUUAAUUAGCAAAAAUUUUGAGUCAUUAUUUUUUUCUAAUUUUUAUCCAGAGUAUCUCCUGUGUAUUGUCAGUCGAGGUUGGGGGGUACACAAAAAAACCACAUUCCACUGCCUUCUUUAAGUAAAACGAUUAAUGUCAGAAACUCAGAGACUGACAAUUAUGUGCUGUCUUAAUGCACUGGCCUUUCAUCUGCAGCCCUUGCUUUUGACACGAGUGAUGGUUUCAGUUCAGCGAUAUGAACGGCAGGAAAGGGAACGAUCUCAGGCUUUCCCAGCCCAUUGUGCGGUGCCGCGCUCAGGCAUGGCAAGCAGUGCUUGAGCUGCCUUCAUUUAACAGUUUUGCAUACGAGCUGGUAAGGGCUGUACCUAGAGACUGAACAAAAAGCUGAAGAUCUCGGCCGUUCCGGGAGGGAAAUGAGUUUCUCAAAGAACUUCCCAUGUUUGCACAACUCCUUUAUCCCCUCCUGCCUAGUCAGGGCUCCACUCACGCUACACGCUGCCAGUAAACUUCCAUGGCAAUAAAAUAAAAUAAUCCUCAUUGGAAAGAAUGAGAAAUGACUGAGACGUGAAGCCUAUAAAAAGAGGCUGGUUAUCAGACUAUUGCCUGCCCAUCUCACAGGCUCUGCCCCAGCUUGCCCAGGGCUGACGGCUCAGCUCAUCGGCUGCCCAGGGAAUGGUUGCAACAAAAAGAAAUACUGGUAUUACGUUUAUUGCUUCUAUUUAGAAUUGAGUUGUUUACCCAGGCUUUUGGAAAAAGUUGAGGUGGAACUUCACUGAAGCAGGAAAAGCAUCUUUCACACUCCAUGGGACUCUAAGGUUUCCAAACCGUUUCUCAAAAGUAAAGAAUUAAGGUUCUUCCCACCCCCUGGAGAACAGCCAUUCCUUUAAACCUUUUCAUAUUUGUGCAACAGGGGCAAAAUUGUGAAUGACCUACCCGGGUUCUUACAGUAAAACAUUAAUAGUAAUGAAAAGCAAUAUGGAUAAUAUCUGGUCAUGUUCAAAACACUGGGAAUUCUUCCAGGAGUUUUACUAGGACUUUAUUAGUAGUUAUCAAAUCAAGCUCAAGAGUUGCCUUAAAGGAAAGUCAGUCACUUAAAGUGUUCUAUUUUUAGUUUAUGAGCUGGAAUAUAAAACUUCUUCUAAAACUUUUAUGAAAAACAUCAUAUUAUUUAUGUGUUUCUAAAAUAGCAACUUUUUCUUAUAUAAUAAAAAUGUUUAUAAAUUACUCUUAGUCUCUGCAUAUGACUACAUUUAACCUCCAAACAUGGUUUAAGAUUUAUCUUGAAUGAAAAAAAAUAUAUAACUAGUAGAAUAGUGAACUUCUACAAACUAUGGACUUCUUGGUAAAUGUGUCAAACUUUUGAUCACUCUUUCUUCACAAUAUAAUAAUGCCAUUAACUUUUUCAGGUCUCUGAUUUCUAUUAUCUGGAUGAUUUAAAGGAAAAAUAAAAGGGAAUAAUUAUUGAUUAUUUUUAAAUUGCCCUGAUUUUUUAGAAGUCAUCCAUUGCAUUUCCUAUUAUUUCUAAAUCGUGGAUACAUCAGCACAAGUUUCAUAAUCAUGAAACUCUAAUAGCGGUAAUUGUAUUCCUGUUAUGCCUAGCUUCAGCAAGUCCUCAUGUUUUCUACUUCUAAAACAAAGAGCUUGUCUUCUAAUACAAAGAGCUUGAAUGUUGAGUAUCUUUUCUGUUACACGCCCAUUACUGGCAGAAUUUAUCCAGCAACAUUUUCUUUUACAGUUCUGUAGCUUUACGUUGCUUCUGCUCCAUGAGCUACCUUGAAAUUAACUUGUCAGAUGUUCAUCCCACUACUUAGGGAAGAAUCCUGAUCAGAUGAGUGGACCAAUUUGUCAUGACUUGUGGGAGAGAUGCUGGCAAGCAGGUGGCACUAAGGCGGCUGGAUAUGAGGGAUGCUGUACAGCAGCUCCUGCUGGCUCCUGCAAGGGGCUCUUUGUAUCAGAGACGGCAUUUGGAAAACCAGAGUGAGAAAGCUCUUCAUCACCAGGGCCCGGUUCUCUCUCCUCUGGGGCACUUGGCAAACAGCAGAACAAGGUGCAAAGCUGUAGAAAACAGCAUAACAAAAAUGAUCUCCCACCAGAACUCUCGGCUGUAUCACACUACUAGCUGGGAGAAGUCUUGGUCUGGAUUUUAUCCUUGUUAUAAUAUUUCAGCCAGUCUCUACAUUGAACAGAUGUAUUAAUCAGGUGUGUUAAUUUACCAACUUUUGUUAAGCAGUUUGAAAGAGUGAGAUGCUGUGUUACUCCUUGGUAUUCAUAUAUCAAAGCAAAUGUUGAACAAGGGAUUAGCACUUAUAGACUGGCACUGUUCUUCCUCUCUGUCCUCCCAGUCUUUAUUCUUUAUACUCUGUCUUGUUCUAUUAUCUUAGGCCUGACUUUGGAGUGUUUUCAGUUUUUGAAAAUGGCAAGUAAUUAGUCAAUAUGUUUUCACCAUAUGUAUCAAGCUCAGUAAAGAGGCAACCAUUGGCCUUUGUCAUGGCACAGUAAGCGUUCGUUUUCUCAGUACUUCAAGUUACGCUGAGCGUGUGCUGAACGCCAAAGAAUUUAAUGAGGAAUUUUACAAUGAAACAUUUGACAUAAUAAUUCACAGUUCAGCGCAGUUCACAAAUUCGGGGUGAGUCCCCUUUGAAGAUUGCCUUGUUGGUGCUGUUCACACCAGAGAUCUUGCACGAGCUGCUUCUCCCCUGCCUGGUGCCCUGCAUGAGCAAAGAGGCCGCGCAAAGGGUGGAUAAAUUGUCGUGACUUGAAAUGGUCCCGUUUUACAUCUUCUUGGCACAGAUGCCAUGUACAACAAGGGAGAAUUCUUGAAACCCCUUUUCCCUUCCAGACUGGCUUUUUCCUUACCCCAAGCUAGCUAAUGCAUACUUUCCAGAUAGAAAUUUUUGCUCUAAGGCUUCCACUGUUGCUGACUGUUAACAAUCUUAAAAAAAGGUCAGAAUCUGACCAUAACACUGCUGAUAUGAAGUGGCACUUGCCCAAAUUUUGCCAUCUCCUGAGCAAAAAUACAUCCAGUGUUUUCUAGGGCAAGAUGGGAUAGACAGCAGCCUUGCCUGGGCCAUUUUCUGCUCUCAGGGAUAUUGUAUUUCAGUUAUCUGUGGAACAGGUUUCUGCAUUCCCUGCUGGGUUUCUUCAGAUUCGCAGAUAAAAUGUUUGAGCUCACACUCAGUUCAGCGAGUUACGGGUAUUUUGUUUAACGUUUUGGGGUACAUACAACAAACAACGAUGAGUAAGAAUGAUGACAUAUUGUUUUACUGCAGUCAUGAUUUAAAUUUAUAUGGCAUUGCUAUUGAAGUCAAUAGGACUUUUUCCCGAGUAUGCUUUGCAGGGUAUGGUAUCAUUAAAAUAUGACAGUUAAUAGUCUUGUUUAUGUUAUUAUAUUUAAUGAAUAAAUAUAUCAGUCUGUACAUCAAACUCAGUUUUGUUUAUACUCUGUAAUUGUAGUCUUAUCUCCCCUAAAAGCAUGUUAUAUCUUUUAAUUUUAUAAUUAUCCACUUUAUUCAUGUGUGACACUACAGAACUGCAGCUUAUAUCCUAUGAGACAUCCAAAUACAAACAGAUGGAAGACAGGCAACCUCUAGGAAAUUCAGAUCUGGAUCUGUAACACUCCACAAUUUCAGAUCCAAGGUCUUGGUUUGGGCUGUUGUACAAAGGAGCAAGAGUUGCAGAAUGUGAAUCUAAUUUAUACAGCACCUCUGGAUGUGAACCGUCAGUGGGGAUUUUAUACCAUCCUUCAACACCUAAAUGUUGUUCUCUGUCUCUUGAAAGAGACCUGAGCUCUAAAGGCAAAGAGGGAGCACUUCUCCCAUUGCCCUUUCCAAAGAUUUUCAAAAAAGGAAUUCAAGAUUUAUUGGGCUGGGGAGGGGGAACAGAAAUAUAAGCAUAACUUUGUAGCCUGGUGGUUAUAGCACUUGGCUGGAAAGGGUAAAUGCCAGUCCAUUUUGAAAACCUCCCUCACCUAAUUUGUAUUUGAACACAAUUUCUAGUAAGUGCCCUCACAAAUGUCACCUCUAAGGCAAAAAAAAAACCAAGAAAGGCAAUAAGAAAAGUUAUCUAAGGAAGGGAAAAUCUGCUUAGGAGGCUGACACAGCCAAAGUGAAUACUUUUCUCAGUUAUCACAUGAAGAAGAAAAUAUCAUAAUAUUGAAACCAGUUUUGAAAACUUUCCAUGAAAAUAGGGGAAAGGGAAAAAAAAAAAACAUGAAACACUAGUUGAAUACAGAGAGAGGCCGAAGAGAGUUCGGUUACCAUAGAGAUUAUUACUGGCAAUUGGUACUCAACAGCAGAUUGGGAUCUGUUACAAUAUUUUUAUUAAUCUUUUCUCUUAAUUGGUUAUUUAUGUAUUUUGGAUCCAUCUCUGUUCUGGGUCCAGAUUUUACUCUUUACCUGUCAUUCUUCUUGACAUGAAGCAGUAAUGACUGUGCCAGAUAUCAGGCAGUUCCUCAAUGUGUAAACAUUAACAGGGGCCACGAGUAUCUAAAAUACCACAAGGACAAGUCACUGGCUGGGGCUGGCAAAGGAGGGGGAGAAGCAUCACAAACACACUCAGUCUGGGAGGCUUCAGCACAAGCUCUCGUCCGCGCAAACCCUGUGACGAUGUUUUGUAGGUACAACAGAGAGGAUGCAAAAUGCCUUUUCCCCUUUCAGUUUUCCCUCAUGCAUAUACAAACCUGGUCAUUUAACACAUGCACCUUCCAGUGCAUGAACUGGUAAUUUAGGAAAUACCCUGUUGUAAAGCCUUUCCCUAUCCUCCCCUUCCUAAGGAUUCAUCUUGUUUGUGUGUGCUGCAGCCACUGAAAACACCCAGCCUUUUUCAAGCCACUUAGGGCAUUAUGCUUAAAGUCCAGUGUCAAGAGACUUUUCAAAACAAUCAGCUUCUAAAAAUUCUAGUCUUAAUUUCAGAGUGCCCAGUCUUUGUUCGUACCCAGUGUUAAAUACAUUUUAAAAUGCAUUUUUUCCUGCCACACCUUUUGCCUUUAGGGAGGUGUUUUGUUUUUUCCAGGAUGCCUGAGAUCAGGCAGAACCAGCUGGAUUUUCAUCCCCUUUUCUCCCCCUCCUCCCCAGCCUGUUGCUCCCUGUCUGCAUGUCCUGCCUGCGGGGUGCACAGGGAGGCACUGGCUGGGCAAUGGGGCUGCAGGGAAUGCUCCCAACUGCACAGUGUGAACAAAGUAUAUAUAUGUAUAUUAAAAAAAAAGAGAAAGGGAGAAGCAUGUUUUUUUCGCCUCUAAUCUCCUUUAGUUAUCAUGAUCUCAAGGGUUAUCUGUGAUGAUAGUAGGCACUGCAUUUCAGACGGAAAUGUGAUUUUCCAAGCUGACAGUGUCACUUUAAGUAAACAAAGUUAAUUCUGCUUCCUGCUAUGCAAGGCCUAAUCUCAUUACCCAAACCACAAGCAGCAUAACAGAGAAUAGUCCCAUCUGUCAAAAGAACUUAAAAUAAAGGUGGAUAUUGUUUUUAUGUUUCAUCCCUCUCCUUCCACCCAAAUCCCUCAAUGGAAAUUAAUUAUUGCAUCAGAUCCAUUUAAACCUGUUCAGAUCCCCCGGCCUGUGCCAGUGGUUCCUUUUUCAUUUGACGUGUCUACAGAAUAAUAAUGUUUAUGCUGCAUCUUAGAGUUAAUGCUCAGUUUUGAUGAAUUGUAGCUAAAAGCUGGGAGCCAGAUGGCUGACCCAUUCGUCUUGCUGCGUUCUACUCUAAGGAGACAGAAAGCAGGUGACAUCAGGUCAGCUUCAGGCUCCCCCAGAGGUGAGCUGGAUUAUGCUCAGUCCCUUUCCCACCUCAAAUAAGGAGAGGGAACCCCUGAGCUCAAGACAGCCCAACAGGGAGCGAGAUUCAGCACAGUGUAAGUCCGUUAGGAUUUACACAUGAAAGAGAAUCAAGGAAUUGGUGCUGCAGGCUCCAGUGAGAGCUAUGCCAGCGCAGGGAGCGGAACCCAACCUGCCCAGGUCUGGCUUGAAGCAGAAGAAAAUCCAAACAUGCUAUCAAGCAGUUCUUAGCUCACUUCAAACCAGCAGCCACCAAUCAUAAAAAGAUCAUUCAUAAAACUCUCUAACAACAGUGGUUUUCAUCCCCUCUUCAUUUAAAAUGACCUUUAUAUGAUUAUAAGAUCUGCCUUGCUAAGCCUUAAUUGCUUAAUUAGAGAAGCAAGUUCUCUAUUAGACAAACAUUUUUUUCAGACUGUGUUUUUUUUCUUGCAAGUAUGCAGUUUUCUUGCAUUUUAAGCUCAUCAGCAGUAUUUAUAAAGCUUUAAAAAGACACUUUCAAGUGGUUAUAGUUUGUUAGUUUGUUUAUUUAUUUGCCAUUUGAAGGUUUUGUUUCCCACUCCCUUCCUGAGAGACACUUCCAGCAGGAAUCUCUCCCCUUCGGAAUUUCGCUGCCUUUUGCUACCACACCUGCACAGCAUUUUGCAAAAAAAUGCAGGCUUUCACAGCUGUUAUGUGUUCUGGGUGUGAUUGGGAAUUUAUUUAUCAUGGGCAAGUUCUCAGAGCUGAGCAAAAUUAGCCUGGUUUUGUAGUGCUGUUUUAAAGAUCUAGCCAAUCAAUCUAUGACUGUAGGGUUGUUUCUGACUGUGUGAUUGUUGACAGUUUUAAAGAAGUCAAUUGACUCACUUGCUCUGGAACACUAUUUAAGUUUUGCCUUGUGUUAGAUUUUUGUGUGUGUGUGUGGCAUUGUUAUACUAAUGCAGUAUAUUGAAAGCAGAAGGUUCCAGAGGUAAUUAGUGCUGAUUACAGUGACAAGCUGCAUUUCUAAAGUAAGUUUUGGGGCUGGAGUGGCUACAUUAAUGAAAAAGCCUCUGCCAUAGCAAAAGCAGCAUUACUGGUGCUGCAAGCAGCCUUAAAAUAGAAACUAGAAGUAUUAUAACACUUGAGAUACCCCAGCCCUGAGAAGCAGCCACAGAUAUUUGUUUCCCCAGAAAGAAGUAUCUCCUUGCUGUGCUCUUUAUAAAAGAAUACUUUGCUGAAAAUAGAGAACAUCACCAUAAAAAGUAAAAAAGUGAUAAGAGAUUAAGUUGGGAAAAAUGGACCAGAAGUGGCUUCACGUGAAAAUGGCAAUUAAAUUACUUGUACCACUUAUGGUGGUAAAGUGAGAAAGUUUGGACUGUGUUCAUAAAAGGACCUUGGACUUGGUUUUGGUGUUUUGGAUUACAGAAGGAAUUUCAAAGGUAACUUGGCUGCCUUUUCCCUUUUCGUUACUGCUUCAAUAACAGAACACCUUGACCCUCUGUUUGCGAUUGUGUCCCUGUUACUCUUAGCACAGCACAAGCAAUGGGAAACGCUCCUUUCCACUCCAAGCAGCGAGCCGUGCAGCCAGGAGGAGGGGAGCACAGGUAUCCUCACCCAGGGGAUGCACGAGGGAAAGAAAAGUUACUGACCACCCUGAGUAGCACAAACUGAUGAGUAAAAAUGGUUCUCAUACUUAUUUGGUGAAACAGAAUAUGUAGGAGCUGCAAUAAGCAGUGUCCUUCUCUGACACUAAAGAGCAUGACUUGUAUUGAGGACUUGGAAAGUAUUUGAGAACUUUGAUUACGUUCAUUUCAACCUGGGUGUUUUUCAGGAUCUCAGCCGUUCUGCCCAGACUAUUCAUCUCUUUGCUGAUAAAAAUUCAGAGCAUGGCAGGAGCUAAUUGCAAAAGGUGAUAUAGCUUCUCUUUGGAUAGUUGUGUGUGGUAUUUUGGGCAGGCUUUCUCGGCUGAAGCUCCAAGCCAACAAAAAGCCAGGUGGCUGCGUUGGCAUGGUGCUGAGCGCUGCGUAAUCCAUCUGAUGGAAAGCAGGGUUUAUUAGCUUGGCACUGCGCUCCCUGAAUUUCAAGGAUUUUGGAUAAGUUCUGGCUGACAUCCCAUUGGGUCAGACUUACCCCUUGCUAUAUGUGCUUAAGGUAAUGGGAGUAUGUGAUCCUCCUCUUACUGAUUUGCAAGAUUCAUGUGACCUGCAUAGCUUGCAAUGUUACUUUUUGUCUUUAAAUUCCAAAAGCCUGUGUCAUUAAGAAGUCAAAGAGUACAUGUUGAGGUGUGGCAGGAGGUUUGUGUGUGUGGCCAGAAAAAGUACUUGCAAGUGGCAAAAAUUGAUAUUUUCCUAGCUAAAGCCAAAAAACACUUAGAAAUGAUCUAUGUCUAAUAUACUUAUUGUAGCCUGAGGUCAGAGAGGGAUGUGACUUUCAGAAAAAAAAAAAAAAAUGAUAAAACUUGCAGUUUUGAAAAUACGUAUUUUACUUUAGGGCAUUUUCAAAGGCUUUUUUUAUUGUGUCUGCGAUUUCACUUAUACUUUUCACUUCCCAUAUAUUAUUCAUGAUGUCUGUUUUAAUAAGCUUUGGGUCAAGACUUUGUUCUCUGUUAAUAGUUCGUUGCAAAUAACAUUGCUUGGUGUUGGAGCCUCUCUGAAAUGACACUCUGAUUAUUGAGGUACAGUCCAAGUAACAGGCAGAAUAAAGUCUUUUGGUGAAGUCCAGAUUUCCUCUUCCAUUUCACAGUUUCUCUUUCUUUACCUGAUUCUACUCAAAGCCUCAGUAACUGUUAGAUCAUGUAGCUGCGCCGUCACAGCUCCUUGUGAGGAAGGUUCAGAAGUAAGAUAAAAGAGUUGCAAAGCAGAGCUAAAGGAGCCAAAAUAUCUGGAUUCAGUUUUUGCCCACGCGAUUAAGGCAAAUAAAUAUAAUCGGGGAGAGGUGCAUCUGCAAACACAUACAAAGGCACCCACCAUGUGUGGGAUGGAGAAGAAAUUGGUGUUUGCAUCACCAGAAGAGAGAACCAUCUGCAACAGGUCUCCAUAAAAGCCUGUUUUUUAUUGAAUAGCCAUAGAAAAUCAGGGCCCUGCAUAACCUUCAACAUAUGGCUAGGGUCUAUCAAGUGUAUUGAAAAUGCUCAUUUCCUUAAAAUUAAGCACAUUCAACAAAAUUCACUUUGAAUCCUUAACUUCCUUCUGCAAUUUAAUCUUAAAAAUCACUUUUUUUGCCCCUAAAUGCAGGGGAGUUCUGGCAGGGAGCAGAACAUGGUUCAGCAUGUGCCUGGGUGUGAUGUGCUUGCAUGAGUCGGGCAGUUAAAACCUGCUGCACACAAUAUGCUUUGUUAAUGCAGUGUUACUGGCUUUAUUCUCUCCUUUUCUCUGUGUCUUUAGACCCUGAAACACAUGUAAAAGUUCAUAUUCCAUUCAGGCCACCUUUGUAAUAAAUAAAUUUCUGAUAAAAGUCUGACCAAACUGUGUUACAAAGAAACUUGGUCUGUGCAGCAUGUGAGCAUUAUCAAGUUACAUUGUUAUGAUCAACAACCAUAUUGGCAUUUAAACAAAAGAGGAAACGUUUUUUCCAUGUCAUAAGGAAUGUUUCUGGGGCUGUAGCAUCCUAUUAAAGCAAAAUAGGGCUGGUGACAAAGGUCUGCCUGAUUGGAUCUGUGAUCUGCCAGUUUCUAAUGAAUGGAAAGAGAAAGGCACGAGCAGCAGAGUCGAAAAUGAAGGAGAAUUUCUCCUUGUCUUGCUGCUUGUAUGAGGCUGUUCUCGGUAGCUUCAGUGGUGGAAUUCAUUACUGGGGAUAAGAACAGAGAUUAGGUUAAAAGAGCUUUUCAGUGACAAUACCUAAUGCACGAUGGAGUGCUUUCCCUCACUCCUUUCAGGUUUGAAGUUUUCUGACCAUACAUAGUGAUAUAUUACUGUAAUAGUUUGUAUUACAGUAGUGGCCAAAGGUAACAGAAGCAUCCAUUUUGCUGGAUACUUUACAUAUACACAUUAAAAAAUAAUCUCUGCACAAGGUGUCCAUAUGAUUUUAUUUCUCUCUAGUGUAUCUUUUUCUUUUUUAAAGGACUAUCUGGUUUAUGGUUGCAGCUUUGAAAACUGUUACCUCGUUGAGCGGUUUAGACUAAGCACGAGUCAAAGACAGCCUCUUUUUUUAUAACUCAAUCUUCCAAAGUCUGCUAUAAAUGUAAAUAGUGGAGAGAUGCCCUGAUGUUAAGAUGCUGAUACUCGCAGGGUAUAGAAAGUGCCAGUGUAAUAUGUGUGAAAUAGCUUUAUCACAGGCCAUUUUGUAAGCUCUCUUCAGGAGAGAAAGUUUCCCCAAAUAAAAAUGUGUAAACUGUAUGCAAAAUUGAGACACUUAAAAAAAAAUGAAAAGAGCUAAACUAAUUACAUUUGCAGUUACUGUACUAUUGGUUAGACUUCCCUUAGUUGAACAAAGGAACUGAAGUGCUUGUCUGUUGAUUCUGCAUUCUGCAAACCCAACCCAGGUAAGCCCCUGUCAGGCCUUUCUUGGGCUCUGUCUGCUGGCCUUUUUGGCAAGUACUAAACUUAGUUUUAAGCUCCAAUUAAAGAUAUGCAGAGGACUAGGGCCUGAUCCUUUUCUCAUGUCAUUUUCCCGCAAAGGAGCUUCUCUGUACUCAGACAAUUCACUCCUGACUAUAAGUGAGAGCAGAAUUGGGACAUAUGGCACCAUAUCAAAAGAUCUAUUAGAUCUCUCAAUAAAACAAACACAGCUUUUGAAGUUGUUUAGCUGUUUCUAGAGCAAAGCAAGAACUUCAGAGAGAGCACUUUGACUAUUGGGUGAAAAGGAAUCCUUUUUUCACUCUUCUCCCUGCCCUUCCACCCUCUUUCCCUUCCUCUUUUCCCUGUUUGACUUUUCUUCUGCUAAAAUUUUGCCAAAGGAACCUUUAAAGUCAGGUCUGCAGUAAAACCUCUUGCCAGCAUAGUAAUUUUUGUUAGGGGUGUCUUUUUUUUUUAAUAGCACUUCUAUUGGCACAGCCUUCAGCUUAGGUUCAGCUGUACUCAAAAGUAGUGAUUUUGCUGAUGCAGCUUAUUUCAUUGAGGGAACUAGUAAAAACUUAACUGCUAAAAACACUCAAUUGGCAGGACAAGCUGCAUCUGUAUGAGUCCGGUUUGCUGGUGUGGAUGUAAAAUGUAGGGCUGGCCAACAAUGUAACCCUCAAAAGUAGUCCUGUUGAAAUGUGUUUGCUUUGAGCCUAUUUGGCCUCCAUAUGCUGGAGCAAGGAUGGUUGUAGCACACUAAAUUCACAAGACUAAAACAAGCUUUAUGGUGAUUAAAUUCAACUCCCUAAACAUAACUUAGGUGACUCCCCAUCAUGACUUAUGUAACUUAAUCUCGUCUGGUAAAAAGCAUAGCUGUGCUAAAUGGAAAAGCCAUGGCUAUGACUGGCUCGUGGCCGCUCUUUUUGAUGAUAUUAUCAUGAAGAUAUUAUUCUAGUAUGCCUCUGUUUCCCCAUAUGUGAAACAAAUAUCCUGCUAUCAAUCUCAGUACUGUAGAGGUUCAGGAGCUUGACUGCAAACAUUUUGACAUUUUAGUAUAUAAGGGGUAUGAACAGCGUUGUUCACACCAGUUUAAGAGGGCUUGCUGGCCAGUGUGUAUUUGUGAAUCUGCAGCACCGCUUCCUGGUUUUGCUGGAGAAACUCCAGCCAGCAAACCCAGACAAUGUUGUUUAGCUUCUGCUGUCAUCAGAACUAUUUCUUGAGAGCUGGAAAGAUGUACUCCUUCCUUACCCUGCUUGCUGUAGCCCAAAGGAUCAAAGAUAAGGAUUAUAAUGGUUAUGUUCAAGCAGAGGAGUUGUUGAUUGGGAUUUAUCCUUUUAAAUAUGUGUAAGGCAUAGAAAGCUUUGCAGUCAGAAAUAUUGACUUCAUUGAUCCACGCCAAGAGCAGAAGAAACCCAUGCGAGCUGAGGUGGAAAGGCUGUGUGAGAUGCUUAUAAUAAAGAUGUUAUCUGAUAAAUAAGAUAUUGCUUUAUUCCUGACCAAGGAAAAUUAGAAAUCCAGAUUUUAAGUACACCAGUCAAAUCAUGCCAAGUUAACUGUGGCAGCAUUAGUCUUCCGUGAUCAGUAGUCGGUAUUAGGACCUUGCUUUCAUGUUUCUGGUUAAAUGAGGUGGCUACACAGGUCCUGGUUCUUCAUUGUUUAUGAGUUUUACAAGGAGAACCUCUGAAUGAAUCAGCUUCAGGAGCAUAAUGAACUACAAAUGCAAAGAGCAUCACCUUCAUCACUCAGAAUAAAGUGAAUGCAGUGUAGGUCAUGCUGUUGCCUUUGGAAGCAGCUAAAAUCUUCUGUCUGAUCAGCUGAGAUUGCAGAGGCUGACAAGGGAGGCAAGUGGGGGUAAAGGUGUCCAGCGUAAGUGGAGAGUGAACUGGCACAAGUGGGGCUGUCCUGUACAAUGGGCUGGAGAGUCUUGAUGUCAGGGUUCACAUGGAUGGACAAACAAAUGAGAAACCCUGAAGGACCAGCAGAGUUGCUGCUGCAGGCACAGCAGCCAGCUGUGAGCAUUCCUGACAGGGACGCCGACAUGUGGAGGGCAGGGAUGUGAUUUGGGGAGGGGAUGUUAUAUUACUAGAUCUGGGUCUUUUGCCCCAUCCGGAGCAAUAUCAGCUUAUCAGCCAGCAAAUACAAAGUAGAGGAAGGUGGGAACUAUCUAAAAAGCAUGUUUCCUGGUAUUGUAGAUACUAUCACAGACUCAGAGUCAGUUUACAACCACUCUGGCCAAUAUCCAUUUUCUCCUUCAUCGGCAACAAAGCUGUUCUGUCCAGCAGUGUAGGAAAAAGCCCAUCCCGUAUCUGCAAAUGGUCCUCUCCUUUAAAAACACAAACUCCUGUGUUUUCCGCAGUACAUCCUCAGUCAUCCCCCUGCCUUAAACUUUUGAACCCUGUUAGCAAAUGCACCGUGGGCAGAGCAAGGGGGGAGCCCUUACCCCCACGGAAAAAACCUGAUCUGAAGAAUUCUCAAGGGGACAAUUGAGCACUAUCAAACACAACUGCAGUAAUACUUUACUGUCUGCUGCAGAUAUUGAGCCCUCAUUGCAGUAAUUGUCACGGUGACAGAGCUGGGAACACUUGCUGUAAUUAGGACAGUUGUUUUGUCAUGUGUAACGAUCUGAAGAGAAGCACGGAAAAGAGGCGAAUGAGCACUAAUCUGCUAUAGCACAGUGAAGGAGAACCAUGCACUCACACACAAAAUAUGGCACGGCUGCUAAUAUAUUGUAAAUUUAGAUGAGCAGGCAUUUUGAGAAGGUGAAGAAAUAAAUGUUAAAACAAUACAUCUAUUCAGGGGAAUUUAUGCUCUCUCGGGUGUCUCACUGUAUCUAGAACAGCAAGUGCAGCUGUUUUUCUGUAGAGAUUUUUUUGAAGGUGAUCCUGGUGAUAUGUAACAAAAAUCCUCAACUGAAACCAUGUGUGCUUGUGUAUAUAGAUAUAUAUGCAUGCGUAGAUGUGUGUUUAUAGAUAUAUAUGUGAUUUUUCUAUAAGUGGCAUGUAUUUUCUUCCAGCUUGCUGUUCCAGCAGUUUGAGAACAUAGAGCCCCAAAUUAAGAAAGCCGGACACUCCAGUGUGUUACACAUUUAAAGCUAUCGUCCAAACUAUUUUAAUGUCUCUUAAGUUACCAUUUCAGCCUCCUACUUUUUUUCUGUUUCUUGCAUGCAGACAAGCAUUAAAAAUAAGCACUAUCUUUUUCAUUGUGCUCCAAAAUACCUCCUAUUCUGAUUCAGUGAGCCUGUAAUGGCUGUUCUGGUUGAGUUUUAUCUGAUGACAAACGCUACUUAUGUAUCAAAAACUCCUGGGAAACAAGGUUACAAUUUCGGAAUUAUAAGACCCAGAGCUAUAGGGUAUCAAAUACCUGUUGGGUAUUAAGGAGGUAAGCGUUAAGCAUACAAAAUAAGACUGUACUAUGGAUUUCUACAAAAUUAAGUUCAUUUUUUUUUUGCUUUCCACAAAAAUGUUGACAUUUUAUUUCACUUUUUUAGUGUUAAACGUUCAUAUCUUCAGUUAUUUUUUUUUAGCUUUCCAAUUCUCACUUGUCAAUGAAAUCUUUCCUUCGCUGCUGAAGCCAAUUGGUUUUACCAUCUACUUGAGUAAGACCAAGAUUUCACUUUUAGUCUUUUGCUACAUGAAAUCAUUCUUGUAAAGAUCACAAAUGUCCCUCAGAGAUUAUCAACCUGUAACCUGUAUUUUAAAAAGGUUACAGGGAUAACUCAGGGAACAACAGACCACUUAGUCUGAUCCUGAUUCCAAGUAAAACAUUACGAUUAUCCCAGAACUCUAUUAGCAAAGAAUUAGAGGGUAGAAUACAAUUAAUGACAGGAUUAUAAAUCUUGUCAAACAAACAUACUGUCUUUAGACAGGAUUACACAACUACUUGAGAAAGGUAACUGGGCGGAUGUAGGAUACCUGGAUUUCUCAAGGGCAUUUGCCUGAUGUUUUGCCUCGUUAGGUUUUCAAACAUGUGUUAGAUGUUUUAAAUUCUGGCGCACCAGUGGGACUCUGUGUAUUGUAAUGGGAGCUACUGAUGAAAUGCUUCCUCUUUCUAGAUUGUAUUGGCGGUAUAAUAUUUGUACCAAUGAUCCAAGCAAUGAUGUGAAAUACAUUUGGUGAAGGCUGCAAGGUGACACGGGACCUGAUGGAGCAGUGAAUAAUGAGAAAAAGUUGCUACGUAGGAGCAAAAUUAAUCUGCAGGUUAAAGGGUUUCAGUCCAACAGAAUUCAUUUUAAUACAGUUGGAUAUAAAGAAAACCCUACAGGAACAAAGAAUAUAGAUUAUAGCUAUGGGUUAUAUCUGUGUAUGUCUUGGAGUAGAUAUAUAGAUAGGCAGUGAUAUACAGGUAGACACUAUGAACUAAGUUCACAGUGCAGUGCUAUGGAGAAAAAAACUGUUCUCUCUAAAUGAAACCAAUAAUAAAUUAGUUAAACAAACAAAGAAAGCAAAUUAAACUAAAAAAAGCAAAUAAAAGGAGAAGAUUUUAUUCUUAUGUGCAUCUCUAAGUGGGUCACAGUGUGAAAUGUCCGUGUUUCAAGACUAUGUGGAAGUAUUCUGAAGAAAAGUUAGUGGAGGCCAGCAGGAAUGACCUGGAGGCUGGAAAUCCAGCCUUGUGCUGUGAAGUUUAAAGAACCUGACAUAUUCAGCUUCUCAGAAAUCCUGAGAGAUGCUUUGGCUGCUGUGUGUAGGCAUCCCUGUGUGAGAGCCAGCUUUUCAGUCUGGCUGAGAAAGCAAAUUUAGCUGGAUAUUUAUGUUGACCAAAUUUAGCAGUAAAAUAAUAACAUUAUAUUAAAAUAAGACACAGUUCCUAGUUGUGAAGGUGAUGGAAGCUCACAACAGUUUUUCAAGUGUUCUCCUGAGUGCUUUCUUCUCUUCAAAACAGGAUUAACUGCCCUUUUGAAGCAUAUAUAUAAAAUCAAGCUAGAUUAUAGGGAAAUUUUAUUGCAAAGACACAAUUUAGAACUGGUAUAUUGUGUGUAUUUACAUAUGUGUGCAUGUCUGAAGGGGCCUUUGCGGGUUUAUGUGUGGUAAAACAACACAGCUCACUUACAUGUAGAUUAAUUAGUAUGUUUGUGUCAUAUAAGGGUAUUAAUACAAGAGAUUAAGUGGCUUGUUCAACUAGACAACCAAAUAAUCCUGCACGUUUUCAAUCUGUAUAAGGCCCCUUUCUUAGCUUUAAACUAGCUCAGUAAGUGAAUACAUUUGUAUUUGCUCUCUUGUCAGGCAGUAAGGUAUUUUUCCUACUGUGUGUUGAUUAUUUGUUUCAUUAAUUUGAAAAUAGUUUAAAUUUCUCUGAUCAUUUUUAACAAUAAAAAUGCCUUCAGUAGAUUUUCCAGUGCAAACCUUUUAUUUCUCAGUUUUUCUCGACGUUAGACUCCUUAGAUUUGAAUGUUUGGGGCUUUUUGGUGAAAAUUAAAAACAAAACCAAACCAAACUUCUAGAGAAAGCAGAUACCUUUCUACUGAAAAUUUGCCUCAGUUAAAAAUCUAAUUUCCACUGCAAAAGGGGAAAAAGAAGUUUGAACAAGAAACAGAAAAUCAGACAGCUCUAGUGUCCUGCAUCAGUAUCUGAACCUUGGCAGCACUUCUGUAAGAGAAGGGAUUGACCAAACAAUUCAUUAACAGGAAUGUUCUCCUCACGGAGGGGAUUCAAGAGCUGCAUGAGAAACUUUAAAGCCUCCUUUGUGUAUCCAAACCGAAACACGGCUCAAAGAAAUGAGUGUCUGUGGCGGUUCAGGGCGCCGUGAACUCUGGGCUGUUUGUGGAGCGGCUUUGACAGAAGUUGCUCUUGAUUUCGAAGUCCAUCCCGUCCACCCGUGGCUGGGAGGCUGGCAAGGGAGAAAAGGGUGCGGGGAGUUUGCCUGGCAACAAAAGCACAGCAAUUUGCUCUGGUGUUGCUGUGAGGAGAAGAUGCUUUUGUGAGCAGAGACAUGUGAUAAGUGUAGCAUGAAAGCACCGCGAAGUAAUUGUUCUGAACCCGGCUCUGGGCUGCUCUGACUCGCAGUGGUCAAGGUCUGAAACAAGGAGAUCCGUGCCAAGUCUCGCCUUGAACAAAGCGACUUAAGAGACUUUCUUCCCUGCAAAUAUCUCCUUGGCCUGCAACCACGAUUACCGCGAUUGCAUCGAGGCCUCUGCAUUUUUGCACUGAUAAAGGAAAACGCAGCAGAGUAAAGGCUGGUUUUGGACACAGCCUGUUUUACAAAUUUUAGGGCAGUGAUUUUGGUGAAUGCAGUUGGGUGAAGCUGAUGAACAUUGUCCAUAGCUCUGUUUGCCAGCUGGGUUCAGCAUCAAUGUUUGUUUUCUGCAUUGUGCUACGUUUUGGGACAUCUUUGGUCAUGGUGCCUGUGCUAUGCUAGAAACCAGUCAGUUAUUUCUGGUGCUUUUUACCACCUUCUGUGCAUUUGAGAGUGACAGUGGGUCCACAGCAUUGCUCAGUCACCUGUGGCUGCUUCCAUCCUUGCCCAAAUAAUAUUUAUGCCAACAUCCCCACUUGAACUGUUAGCCAUCGCCCCUCCUUGCUGGUUGUACACCUUGCAGUUUGUCAUUACACUAAAUUAUGAGCUCUUUGGGAGAAGAAUUGUCCUCAGGUCAUUUACUGAACACUGAAUUGCAAUUUUCUUGUUGAACUUGCGGGGUGUUUUGCUGCCGAGUGUGGCUGCAGUUGCGGUUUGUGGUAUUUGCCAUUCCUGCAGGUGCGUUUCCAACACCUCCAUGCGGCUGUGUAGGUGCUGGCGAUCAGCAACCCAGGUCUUGUUUGGAAACGGUGCAUUUUCCUUAAACUCUGAUUAACCAGUUAUGUUUGUUCUGAUUUAAAUGCUUCUGUCAUGUAUUUCACUAUAGGACAGAGCGGUGUGCGGAAUUUCAAGACUUCCGCAGUUGUGUAAGUGAAUGAGAUGUUUUCUUAAAGUAACUAUUUAUACGUGUUUAGAAGAUCCAGAGAAAGAUUUACACGUUGCAUCUCUCCCUCUAACUCAUGCAGUGGCAUCUCUCUCUGUCACGCACGUCACAUGUAACCAGAUUGUAAAAUCCGAAGAGCAGAGGGCAGGUCUCUCUUCCUUUUGUUCGAUGCCAUGUAGUGGCUGGAAGGAUGAGCAAAAGAGAAGAUUUUUCUGCCAGGGACACAACAAAUUAAAAAGGCUUCUCCCUAAUAGAAAUUAAAUUUGAGACACUGUUUAUUUUGAAACAGUCAGGUUAGUAUUUAUCUCAAAUUGGUUUUAGAAAAUGGAUUUUUUUUUUUUUUGAAAAUACAGUCUCAGCCUAAACAAAUAUUAUCGUGUAGUAACUUUACUGGAAAUUUCUGCUUUUCAAUUCCUGUUUGGCAGUGUGGGUUCAAUGUAGUUUUGGAGGAAAAAGCAUACAGUUGUUAAAAUCACAAUGAAAAGGGAACUUGUAAUACAAAAGCAUUAAAAUCAUGUGGCAUUUCCAGUGCACUUUUAAAUGACAAUUUUUCUCUUUUUUUAGAGAUUAAAAAUGAAAAAAAAAAAAGUCUAUUAGCAACACUUAAAUCUUCCAAGUUAAUUUCUAAGUUAACUGAAAGGGGUAUGACCGUGUGUAACUGUAAGGUAGUAAAUUGUUCAUGCAACAAAGCAAAACAGCUAGUAAGAGAGCUAAUAUCCAUACCUUUCACCUAUCUCCUUUUAGCAUAAAAAGUAUAUUCCAUAUUGUCUGGCUUUAAAACUUGUUUACCCAGGCUGGGACUAAAUUAAGCUGUACAAAGCAAAUGCUCUCAUGCACUUUACUGCUACCUGCUUAAAGCCUCCACAUGAGGCACCUGUGGAUAGAUAUUUAGCUUUUUACUUUCCACGGGAAUCAUUAGAUGCCUGGAAGGGAAGACAAGUGGCAUGUCAGGGCUCCCGGGAAGCUGACAGGUACCCGUAAGGGACCCCGUGUCUACAGUUGGCAAAAGACGAAUGCCUUAGUUCCAGCUCUCCAGCCCAGGCUUCCCGCACCCAGCCUGCCUCUGCACGUCACUGCGAUCCCAACAUUGAACUCGCAACAACCCGGACCGAGAAGACUGCCAAAAAAACUCCCGCUAUUCUUCUUCAUCCUCACUAACAAUUUGGUAAUGAAGUAUUGAUUUCCACUCCCCUGCUUAUGGACGAUAUUAGAUUUUCAUUGAUAAACUGCACUGGGGCUGUCUGGUCUCCACUGUCCCUUUUUGCUGUCACUAAAACAAAGUGCCACUGAAGUAAGAUAAUGACUGAGAACAUUGAUGUACUUAUUUUGUCAAUUUGUAACACUUGACAGGAAAGAAAAAAAAAAUUCUUCAUAGUUUAAUGUCCAAGUGUGCUACACAAGAUGCAGUCACAUUGCGAGCUUUACUUUUCAUGGUAAUGUCCAUUUCCUAUUUAUAACCCCUUUGGGAUAGUUUGUCUAAAGGAAAUGUUUCUAUUCUGUGCAGCUAUUACUGUUGCACCUGGGUUGCCCAAUCCAGUCAUUGCACUAGGGAUCAAUACAUCACAGUAAGUACAAGAAUUAUUAAGUUAAAACAGAUUCUGAGCCAAAAAACCUCUGAACAAUGUUAAUCUUCUGUGCAAGUUGUUCAAAUAGUUAUGCUUAACCAUGUUGCUGCCAAAGAUUUGUUUAAAAUGGAUUAUUUUCAGUUUGUUUUAUUCCUCAGAUAUAUAUAUUUAAAUCUCCAUUACGGUUUACGAUGAGACAUAUGCGAUGGAGUGAUUUUUAAACAAAAGUACUAUUGUUAGAUUAUUGAACAUUGUAUAAAUAUAGGUAUAUCUAUAUAUAAAUAUCACUAUAUAAAUAUCUAUAUAUAGAUAUAAAGGGAUAAAAGUAGAAUCGCUUUCUCAGUUAGGUGAGUGUAAAUCUAAUCUCUCUGUUGUAGUCAAUGGAGUUAGCCUGGAUUUAUGCCACCAUGAAUGAGAUCAGAAUCUGGUCUUUGCGCUCCCUGGCUGGUGCUGGGAAGCACAGUUGGCUUCAAGUCAACCGAGACCUGGGGAGAAGGGGCUACAAAGAUGGCAACUUCAAAUCUGUGCUUGUAACUUUUUCAUUAAAACUUUGAGGUCCUGAUUUUAAUUUGUGGAAUAUUCACGUUAAUAAUGAGAUCUAAUUAAGACAUCCAUUAAAAGCCCGUUAAAGUUAAUUUAACGUAAAAAUUCCAAUAGAACUGUAUUAGAUUUUCUCCAUUAAAUUAACGUUAUGGAUUUUUAACGGAUGUCUUAAUUAUACGUUAUUAUUAACGGGAAUACUGUAUUGCACAGAUUAAAAUCGGGUCCCAAGUCAACUCACAAAAUCUUCCAGGAUACGCUAAAGUCACAAGUCCCACCUUACUUAGUGCGCUGCAUGGAAAAUCACGCGCAGCCCUGGUUGAUCUCGCUGAGCGUUUCCUCGCAGCCAAAACAACCUCCGGUCGACAAAUCCAUCUCUGCAUUUAACGAUGAACUUCCUGUAUUCUCAAAGGCAAAAUAAGUCUGGAUCAAGUUGUAAACCAAUGCUCCGUUGCAAAUGAAAUAUCCAAAGUAUGCUAGGCACAAGUUGAGAAGAGGAUCUUUCUCGAAUAAGAGAGGGCUUUGGGGUGUCUUUUUGCUGUUAUUUUGGUUUGGAUGUUCAAGGAUGUAAUUGAAAUGCAGCAUUCACAAAAUCAGACUAAAUACAUUUACUGCAUUCCCUGUGACUUAUGCAGAAGGGCCUGUUUUUGUCAUUGUUUGGGAAAUUUUGACAUGAUCCCUAAACUCAACAUGAAGGAGAAAAAAAAGUCCCUUCUUAUUUACCUCCUAGGGAAAGUGUUGCCCUUAUGCCACAUAUAAUAGCAAAUUGCUUUUUUUAUGGCAUGCAUAACCUAGAUGGGAAAAAAUAUGGCGCUUGAGGGAAGGAGGGAAAAAGUAAAUGAAGUUCCAGGAAUGUCAUUCUGAAGUAAUGAGGCAUGGACAGAAAAUAUACCCCUCACAUCAUCGGAUUGAGAUGGCAGUCGAAAUAGCUUCAUUGAAGUGUCAGCACUCAUCCAUCAAUCAAUCAUCCACAAGGAAAAAUAGCGACAGUACAACGGGGCGGCUUUUAUGGGAUUUACUCAUGGGCAUAGGGAAUAGCAGCUCAAAUGUAGUUCUGACAUGAAAAGCAAGGUGCUGAUAUUAUUUUUUAUGAUGGGAGGAUCAUAAAGUGAAUUGAGAACAGUGAGGUCUGUCUUUGCUUAACCUAUUCAACUGGAAAUGAACGGAGCUCAACUGGAAACGAGCAGAGCCUUCAGAUGGGUUAAGAUUGAAGCCUGCACCGUGCUGAGCACCGGCCAUUGACAACAAAAUUCUAUUAAGGCAAAAUCAAUGCAUUAGCAUCGAGCUCCUCAGAAGCUGUUAAAUUGCACAGCCCACUCCAGAGUUACUCAGUGAAGUUGCACAAGGCGGGUCCAGCGUCACCGGCCCAAAGGCAGCGAGCGCUGCCGUUCAAUCCCGCCUGGGAGAAACCACGUGUGUGUCCCCAGCCCCACACCUUUCCCCGAGCUUUUGGGUGCUCUAGGGAAGAAUAUUUGGCUUAUCGCGGCAUCCAACGGGUGAGAUUCCCACCGACUUCUGAUGGGCCUGUGCUCCUGGGGGUUUGGAACCCGCUUUGGUAGGAGCCCCCCAUGCCGGACGUUUUGCCGCUUGCAGCCACGGCCGAGCCGCUCGGACACCAACACGGGAGCUGCGGGACCGGGAUUUGGGGAGCGCUGGUUCCCCACGGGGAGGUCUGGCCGGCCAGCAGCGCGUUUUGCUCAGGUAGCAUCACUCCAGCACAGGCAAGUGCAGAAACAGCUAUUUCAUUUAAAAUCUGGCCACAAACCUUUAUUACACACUGCUAAACCUUGAUUAUUUUGCCCGCAUCGCCGUCCUCUGGGAACAUUUUAGGUACACAUUUGAAUUAAGUGAUUUUUCUUUUUUUUUUUUUUUUUACAAUAUGAUAUAAAAAAGAAAAUGUACAUCUCUCCUCUCUCUUUCUCUGUACAAAACUGGAUGAGUUGAUAGUUUAUCUGUCAUAUAAAUCAGGUAACACAGAAAAUCAUUGCGUCUUUUCUCUAUCGUAUCUACUCAAUAUCUAUCGUUCUGACUUUUAUUCUUAUUGGAGAUCAUCAAAACAUUAAUUAAAAGCCUGGUGAUCAAACAGCUGAAUAUUUAUGAUUCACAUCCUUGCUUAUUAACAAGUGGCAUAUUGAUAUGCCACAUAUCCAAGCUGCUUAUGCUCUUGCACUGCAAUAAAGCAGUAAGAAUUGUUACCCUUACACACCGCUUUGAGAGAUUUAUUCAGCAAGCACAGCUCCCUUUCUGCCACCGUCCGUGUCAAAAUAAGCCAAAUCAUCUCAAAAAAAAGAAAAAGUUUUAUUUUAAAAGAAGGAGACGUAAUUAGCAUCUCUUUGGAGCCUAGUAUGUAACAAUUCCAGUGCAUCAGUCUCAGGUGUUUUUUUUCCAGGCUCUUAUUAUUUAAGCUGAGAAUGAGAAGGACACUCAGCUUUAAAAAUGGCCAUCAUUAGUACAAUAAUAAUUGUUAGUUAAAAAAAAAAAAAUCUUUGAGAAUCUGCUAACAAACCUGCCCAGUAAUUACUUGUCAAUGCAACUUCAUUAUGGGUUUUAUUACCUACUUGUAAAAGUAUUUACAAGACUGACCUCCUUAGCCUUUUUAGAGAUCACGGAGGAUAUAAGAAGUCAUUUUAAAAAUCAAUGCUUGUACAUUAACGUGAUAGGGGUUGAAGUCUUCCAAGCCACUUUUACAGGCUAUUGAGUCAACUCUCACACAUUCAAAUGGCAAGGACUGUUCCCCUAAUUUUUGGUCUUUUAUUCUUAAUCACAUUUUGAUAAAGUGCCAUAUUUCGUGACUAAUUUAUACCCACAGCUCAGUUCCUAUGACAGAAGGGGACAUUCCCACCGGGAAGCAUCUCUGCAGGCGUUGCAGGGGAAGCAAACUGCCCUUGUGGUCGGGAAAAUACACAAGUAACUGAGUUUGGGCAUGGGGGAGCCAGCCAGGGGAGAUUUGCUUUCUGCAGCAUUGCUCCCUGCUAAUUGCUAAUUACUAACGGUCUGAUCCUGCAGCCGAGGUGCUGCCCCCGUUCAAGCACAGCAGCUCAGCUCAGCCCUCGGGUUAGUCCUGCUGCAAAUAUGUUGAGAAAACACAUGGAAAUGAAAGACAGCAACCUCAUCUUUGGUAGAGACUUCCUCCCAGCGAAGAAAUGCCCCUGUGCAGCGCCCGAGGCCACCACCCCUGUCCCCUCUGCACUUGCCAUCGUCACUCUCAGGCUAAAGAAAGUGUGUCGGCUCAGCGGAGGUGGAUCUCCAUCACACAGGGCUUUUGUCUUCCCAAACAGAUAUACGAUGCAAUUUAUAUUUAAAAUUCUCUCUAUAAAGACAGUAUUGAUCACAGAUUCCAGAUCAAUACGUUGCAAUUACAGCAGGCUUUAAAGACCAUCUGUCCCCAAGCAAGAGCACUGAUAUAACCACCUCUAUGUCUUUUGAAAAAGUGCUACUGGUAUGAGCCCAUCUUCUUACAGUACAACCUGACAUAUUAUUUUUGCUCCUAGGAAACUGUGCUUAGGAGCUUCAUAGAGCUGUAACUCCUGGUCCCUGGCCACCCCAGAGGAGACCUCAGAGCAGCUUCUCGUUGGGUUCCAAAGUCUCAACAGGGUCAGUGACACGGUGGUUUUGCUGGCCUGGUUUUCCUGCUCCCCCCGCAAUUUAUCCCACAGGUUGUAACUUUCCUUUUUUUGCCCAACCUCUGUCCUCAGUUGAAAACAAUCAGCAAGAAGUUAUUGAAUUUCACUAAAACUAAGAACUUUUCAGUAAUGGUGCUGAAGAGUCUGAGCUGGACAUUGGUAGGUGGAAACGAAGCCUUUUUUACGUGUGGCAGAUUGGACAUGGUGAAUGUAACAUUUCAAAACUUGUAGCUAAAGAAUAAAUGACAUGCAUCUAAAGGCAGAUUUCAAUUCACAUUUCAUCAAACGCAGGUCCUAAUUUGUCAGCCCCUGAGGUCAAGGUAAGUCUUUUUGCUGAUGGCCAUGGGUGAGCCAGCACCAGGUAGCGAUUCCAGAAAUUUCCUGGAGUUUUUUCUUUUCUUAACCAUUUCCUGUGGUGGUUGACUUCACGCAAGCACAUGGAAUUUAGGAUAAUUUUUCUCCAAUUGUCUCCUGAAAGGAAGUGAAAGAAUUAAAAAAAAAAUAAAACCAGUGGGUUUACAAUGAUACCAGAAGCCAACGUACCUUUGCAAAUCAGCCCGUGCCCAGGGAGGGGGUUUGCAUCCCACACACAUUGCGCCGGGUCCCACCGGGAUGGUCCUGAUCUUCCCUGCAACCACCUCCCUCUCAUUUCAUUCCGGUCUUCAGCUUUAUUUAUACCAACUCCUGAAAAAAAAAAAAAAAAAAAACAGAAGCCAGAUUCUGAAUUCAUUUAUUCUGGUGUAAAUCCAGAGCUGCUCCUUGGAAUUCAGUAUAUUUACCCUCUGCCUACACAGCUCCAAACACUGUCCUCACGGUCCUAACCUUGGAUUCCUAACAUGUUUAGAUGGUUUUGAAAACAACUUGGGCAAACAGUCUCCAGCUCCAUGCAGAUUUAAUCUAAGGCACAGUCUGCACUUGAGAAGUUUUAUAGUUUUGUCAGGGAAGUGAUUGCAAAACUUUGUUAUUGCUGUGACUAUGCUGGUAAAAGUCCUAAUGUGAAAACAGUUGUAUCGCUAUAAAGCACUUUAUACUGGUACAGCUUAUUUUGCUUUGCUGGACCACUUUUAUACCAGUGCAAGCACUUUUAUCCUGGUAUACUUCAGUCACCAUUAGUGGUCAUAUUUUUGUUUUAACUAUGCUGGCAAAAGUGUGAACAGUAGGUAAAGUUUAAGAUGACACUGUUGUUUCUCGUACCAAAGUGUCUGUACAAUAUUUUCUUUGAGAGUAUUUUUAGAAGUGAAAUAGCUGUACCACUGGACUUAACUGCAGAGUUAUAAACUUCCAGUUCAUCAUCACUCUCAGCUCAUGAAAUGUCUUCAGGCCUUUGUAACAAGCCCUGUUUGAGACAACAGAUUAAAUACUAAUCCUAGCGGGUCAUACAUCUCCACUUGAGUUCAUAUCAUCUAGCUGAGCAAACUAGUUUUUUUUGAUCUAAGACAACAAAUUCUUGCAUUAGACUUCUUAGACGAGAUAGCAGGAAAAAUAUUAAUAUCUUUUAAAGAGAAAAAUGAAAAUGACAUCUUGCAAAAAUGUAGCUACAUUAAAUGCAAAGAAUGUUUUCCCUUGAAACCCACAUCCCCGGGUGGGCACCAGCCCCAGGGGAAGGGCUGUAGUGACAGAACAAACAUCCACGCAACGGCCUCAAAUGUGGAAGAUUUAUUUGAGCAAUGCUUUCAAUUACUAACUGGUCCAUGCAACAUUUAAAAAAACCUGCAUAUCAAUAUCUAUAUAUAUAUAGAUAUAUAGAUAUAUAUAGGUGGAUAUGCAGCUGUAUGCAGAUACCUACCCCCCAUAUACAUUCAUAUAUUUGUGCACACACUGUGAGUGUAUAUGUGGAGCUGUUUAUAACCAGGCACCCAUUCUAUGGCUGAAGCAGCAGCUGGGCACAGCUGGCACCAAGCGGAGCAGCAGGUAUCUUCAGGAUGUACAAUGCAGUAUUUUGGCUUUAUAACGCAGCAAAUGCUGGAAUGUGCAACACAGGUUGCAAAAGCUGACAAGCUAAACAGGUCUUUGGCUCAGGGUACUUCACUGUCGUGUGUCUCUGGUACAAUGUGCCCUUUUGUCUAGUGCUCAGGCACCACUUAUUAAUCCUUUUAUUUUAUUUUCUUUGUUUUACAUUUGUUUUGGUUUUUAUUAUCUCGAACGUGUCAGCACAAAUCGUGAGAUUCACCCCCGUUUUAAAGAACAGAGCAUAGUUGGCCAUAAUAGUAAAUCUGACGGUUUUGCUCUGCCCCGGCGCUUGUGGUGUGUAAUAGGUUUGUUAUUGGCAGCAUCUGCAGGUUACACCUGUGACCCGUGGCGUUAGGUCUAGAAUUUUGUUUAAAAAAUAAUAAUAAUUUAAAAAAAUAAUCAAAAGCUCAUUUCUGUUUAAAAAAAAUGUAUAUACUACAAAUUGCAAAAAGGAAAGAUUAAACACUUUUUUUUAUAUAUAUUACCAACUCAAAUGGGACUCCUUUCCAAGAGGACUCAUGGUGACUUUAUCUGUAGAAUGUUUCAGUGCUUAUGCACUAAUUUUGUAACAAGUGCAUGCUGUAUAGAAUAUAUUGCCUGUAUACUUAGAGUGGAGGGGGGGCCAAGCUGCUCUUCAUUGUGCACUGCAGCUUGUUCGGAUGAAAAGUUAUGCCUUUGAUGCAUUUUUAUACUGUACAUAUUUGUAUAUAUUGACUAUAUUGCCAUGUUACAAACACAGAUUGUGUUAUAUUUGCUCGUUUCGGUUUCCUACAAAAAAAACCUUGGUCCAUAUUGGGGGAUUUCUAUUAUUAAUUUUUUUUUAAUAGAAAAAUAUGCUCAUCAUUUUUGUUUGUUCCUUUUGUUGGUCAUCGUCUUUCAAUGGUUCCUAAUGCAACGAGAGGGGAGAUUUUGGAGGAACUCCGAGAAGCGAGUCUGUGUUUGCAUGAGACCUGCCCAGUCGCCGGCUGGAAGGGGGUGGGGGGAACAGGGGAAAUUGAAGUCAAGUUUUGCUUUUAAAGCAUGCGUAGUCCCACGGGAAAACCCAUACAUGUACAAUUAUUCUCUUUGUAUUUUAUCUAAUAGUGCCUGAAUAUUUUUUUUUUAAUGUCUUCUUGGAGGAACAAUUCAUAAUUGUCAAAAUUUGAAACAUUAGCUUAAUUUUGUUUUCAUGACCUCUCAUUUCUCCUCCUUAUUUAUUUUGUUGCUGUUUAUAAUGGGCCCCAAGGCCAUUUGUGACAUUGCAGUGGUCUUCUUCCACAUUAAGGAUGUUUUUAAAAUUACUGAGAUUAUUGAGCCAACAGGCUGUUUUAAUCAAAACCAUGUUUCACUUGGUUUGGAUGAUUAUGAAUGGUCCUUACAAUGGGAACAGCCCUUUCUGCUGGGGGACAGAACCACCUAGUGGCCCGAAGCCUCAUGGCAGAGGCGCCUCUACCCAAUAUUUACCGUCUCUCUCAAAGCCAAACUGGCAAUUUGGCUUCAAAUUGUUUGCUUAUUAUAACUAACUUCAACUAAACAAAUUUAUAAUGUUAAUGGCAUUUUUUUUCUCCCUUUGGUUGAUUGCUAAAUAAAUUCGUAUAAUUUAUACUAGAAGAGAUUACUGCUUUUAUUGUUUUGGGUUCCCCCAAACCAAUUAUUAACAAUCAGGACUAUGUAUCUCAUUAAAUUUAAAUCAGGUCAGACCUAUUUAUCUAAGGCCUUUUCUGAUUUACAGGAAGAUGACUGUAUUCCAGUGCAUUUAAGAUGUAUUUCUGCGUAUCAUUUUGCAGCAUUGAAAUCUAUUAAUGAUGAUUUUUUUUUUGUUCUGUAUUUUUACCACGGUAAAUACAUUGUAAAAGAAAAAUCCCUCAACUUUCCCACAGAAAAUGUUACUUUUUAUGCCCAGGGAUUUUAUUUUUAAUAAAAUCACUGCAGUUUUAGAACUGUAAUUAAAGCCCUGAAUAAUAGAUCACACAUCUUUAUCUGUUGUGUUUAAAAAGGAAAAAAAAAAUAGCCCAAACUGCUCCCAUAAUCCUGAAUGCCUCAUUUCCAUAAAAAAGGUUUCUAUACAUAUAUUAUUUACAUUUUUAAACAUGGUAAUUCUUUCCUUUGUGGCAUAAAAUGUCUCUUUUUCCACUGCAGCUAUUGGAAAGCGCCUGCUCACAUCUGAAAUGUUAUCGUAAUUUGCAUCAGGAAACCCAACUGCAGACAUUAAGGACUUGGGUGUGUUCAAUUAUGGUUUUGCUGGAGGCUGUCCCUCAUUCUAAUGCUGCACUCAUUGAACUACCUUUCUGAAAUCUCGCUGAUACGGUUCACCAUAGACAUGCUUCACAACAUCAUUAGCUUUGCAAAUGGCUUCAUUUCAGUCAAUGCAGACUUCAGUUUUGGCCAAUUGUAAAAUGGAAAUUUGAAAAGAAAAAAAAAAAAAACAGAUGCACUUAAAACAUGAAAAGAAUUAUUUAUAUGAUAAAAAUAUAUUUAGAUUUUCAAAGCACAAGACUGAACAGAAGUGCUCUUUUUAUGCUUUCUGAAGAUGUUACUGUUAAAAGUCUUUCUACAUCAGGCUUAAUAAAUCUGUAAUGACAUUUGA
Molecule: RNA transcript, 32238 nt
Organism: Columba livia (rock pigeon)
Lineage: Eukaryota; Metazoa; Chordata; Aves; Columbiformes; Columbidae
Gene: TSHZ2
Gene name: teashirt zinc finger homeobox 2
Exons: 4
Source: RefSeq, a predicted model, not a curated record